RNAcentral lists this ribosomal RNA (2908 nucleotides) under Salmonella enterica. RNAcentral's name for it is "23S ribosomal RNA". It matches the Rfam family "Bacterial large subunit ribosomal RNA". The record is from RNAcentral. Lineage: Bacteria; Pseudomonadati; Pseudomonadota; Gammaproteobacteria; Enterobacterales; Enterobacteriaceae.
GGUUAAGCGACUAAGCGUACACGGUGGAUGCCCUGGCAGUCAGAGGCGAUGAAGGGCGUGCUAAUCUGCGAUAAGCGCCGGUAAGGUGAUAUGAACCGUUAUAACCGGCGAUACCCGAAUGGGGAAACCCAGUGUGACUCGUCACACUAUCAUUAACUGAAUCCAUAGGUUAAUGAGGCGAACCGGGGGAACUGAAACAUCUAAGUACCCCGAGGAAAAGAAAUCAACCGAGAUUCCCCCAGUAGCGGCGAGCGAACGGGGAGGAGCCCAGAGCCUGAAUCAGCAUGUGUGUUAGUGGAAGCGUCUGGAAAGGCGCGCGAUACAGGGUGACAGCCCCGUACACAAAAGCGCAUGUGCUGUGAGCUCGAUGAGUAGGGCGGGACACGUGGUAUCCUGUCUGAAUAUGGGGGGACCAUCCUCCAAGGCUAAAUACUCCUGACUGACCGAUAGUGAACCAGUACCGUGAGGGAAAGGCGAAAAGAACCCCGGCGAGGGGAGUGAAAAAGAACCUGAAACCGUGUACGUACAAGCAGUGGGAGCACAGGUUUACCUGUGUGACUGCGUACCUUUUGUAUAAUGGGUCAGCGACUUAUAUUCUGUAGCAAGGUUAACCGAAUAGGGGAGCCGGAGGGAAACCGAGUCUUAACCGGGCGUUAAGUUGCAGGGUAUAGACCCGAAACCCGGUGAUCUAGCCAUGGGCAGGUUGAAGGUUGGGUAACACUAACUGGAGGACCGAACCGACUAAUGUUGAAAAAUUAGCGGAUGACCUGUGGCUGGGGGUGAAAGGCCAAUCAAACCGGGAGAUAGCUGGUUCUCCCCGAAAGCUAUUUAGGUAGCGCCUCGUGAAUUCAUCUCCGGGGGUAGAGCACUGUUUCGGCUAGGGGGCCAUCCCGGCUUACCAACCCGAUGCAAACUGCGAAUACCGGAGAAUGUUAUCACGGGAGACACACGGCGGGUGCUAACGUCCGUCGUGAAGAGGGAAACAACCCAGACCGCCAGCUAAGGUCCCAAAGUCAUGGUUAAGUGGGAAACGAUGUGGGAAGGCCCAGACAGCCAGGAUGUUGGCUUAGAAGCAGCCAUCAUUUAAAGAAAGCGUAAUAGCUCACUGGUCGAGUCGGCCUGCGCGGAAGAUGUAACGGGGCUAAACCAUGCACCGAAGCUGCGGCAGCGACGCUUAUGCGUUGUUGGGUAGGGGAGCGUUCUGUAAGCCUGUGAAGGUGGCCUGUGAGGGUUGCUGGAGGUAUCAGAAGUGCGAAUGCUGACAUAAGUAACGAUAAAGCGGGUGAAAAGCCCGCUCGCCGGAAGACCAAGGGUUCCUGUCCAACGUUAAUCGGGGCAGGGUGAGUCGACCCCUAAGGCGAGGCCGAAAGGCGUAGUCGAUGGGAAACGGGUUAAUAUUCCCGUACUUGGUGUUACUGCGAAGGGGGGACGGAGAAGGCUAUGUUGGCCGGGCGACGGUUGUCCCGGUUUAAGCGUGUAGGUGUGUGUUCCAGGUAAAUCCGGUUCACUUUAACACUGAGGCGUGACGACGAGGCACUACGGUGCUGAAGCAACAAAUGCCCUGCUUCCAGGAAAAGCCUCUAAGCAUCAGGUAACAUCAAAUCGUACCCCAAACCGACACAGGUGGUCAGGUAGAGAAUACCAAGGCGCUUGAGAGAACUCGGGUGAAGGAACUAGGCAAAAUGGUGCCGUAACUUCGGGAGAAGGCACGCUGACACGUAGGUGAAGUGAUUUACUCAUGGAGCUGAAGUCAGUCGAAGAUACCAGCUGGCUGCAACUGUUUAUUAAAAACACAGCACUGUGCAAACACGAAAGUGGACGUAUACGGUGUGACGCCUGCCCGGUGCCGGAAGGUUAAUUGAUGGGGUCAGCGCAAGCGAAGCUCCUGAUCGAAGCCCCGGUAAACGGCGGCCGUAACUAUAACGGUCCUAAGGUAGCGAAAUUCCUUGUCGGGUAAGUUCCGACCUGCACGAAUGGCGUAAUGAUGGCCAGGCUGUCUCCACCCGAGACUCAGUGAAAUUGAACUCGCUGUGAAGAUGCAGUGUACCCGCGGCAAGACGGAAAGACCCCGUGAACCUUUACUAUAGCUUGACACUGAACAUUGAGCCUUGAUGUGUAGGAUAGGUGGGAGGCUUUGAAGCGUGGACGCCAGUCUGCGUGGAGCCGACCUUGAAAUACCACCCUUUAAUGUUUGAUGUUCUAACGUGGACCCGUAAUCCGGGUUGCGGACAGUGUCUGGUGGGUAGUUUGACUGGGGCGGUCUCCUCCUAAAGAGUAACGGAGGAGCACGAAGGUUGGCUAAUCCUGGUCGGACAUCAGGAGGUUAGUGCAAUGGCAUAAGCCAGCUUGACUGCGAGCGUGACGGCGCGAGCAGGUGCGAAAGCAGGUCAUAGUGAUCCGGUGGUUCUGAAUGGAAGGGCCAUCGCUCAACGGAUAAAAGGUACUCCGGGGAUAACAGGCUGAUACCGCCCAAGAGUUCAUAUCGACGGCGGUGUUUGGCACCUCGAUGUCGGCUCAUCACAUCCUGGGGCUGAAGUAGGUCCCAAGGGUAUGGCUGUUCGCCAUUUAAAGUGGUACGCGAGCUGGGUUUAGAACGUCGUGAGACAGUUCGGUCCCUAUCUGCCGUGGGCGCUGGAGAACUGAGGGGGGCUGCUCCUAGUACGAGAGGACCGGAGUGGACGCAUCACUGGUGUUCGGGUUGUCAUGCCAAUGGCACUGCCCGGUAGCUAAAUGCGGAAGAGAUAAGUGCUGAAAGCAUCUAAGCACGAAACUUGCCCCGAGAUGAGUUCUCCCUGAGACUUAGAGUCUCCUGAAGGAACGUUGAAGACGACGACGUUGAUAGGCCGGGUGUGUAAGCGCAGCGAUGCGUUGAGCUAACCGGUACUAAUGAACCGUGAGGCUUAACCUU